This 385-nucleotide long non-coding RNA is filed under the name Vigna radiata. RNAcentral's name for it is "long non-coding RNA (VRAD_LNC011043)". The record is from RNAcentral. Lineage: Eukaryota; Viridiplantae; Streptophyta; Magnoliopsida; Fabales; Fabaceae.
UGCAAUAUUGGCAUUGAUGGAGCUGUGGUGUUCCCAAUCUAGGGUUUGGAAGAGAAAGAGAAUAAGAGAAAAGGGAGAUUAGGGUUUUAAAAGAUGGAAGAACGAUGAGUGAUGUUGGCAGCUGUGAGUGUUUGAGAAAAGAGAGAAAACAACAACUCCAGAGAAAAGCAAAAAAUUAUGAAUGAAUUCAAGCAAAAGUAUGUUGAGUUACAGUGGAAGAAAACUAUAUAUACAAAGGAAAAAGGAAAAACAGAAAUAACAAAUUGUUCAAAAACAUACUAUAACACUACAACUGAACAAUUUCUAUGUUUCCACCAUUCGGUAGUAUUAAGCCACUUGGCAACCUCACGCCUAUGACCAUUCGGUAGUCUAGUAACCUUACUGA